This 440-nucleotide ribosomal RNA is filed under the name uncultured bacterium. Its description in RNAcentral is "partial 16S ribosomal RNA". It matches the Rfam family "Bacterial small subunit ribosomal RNA", at positions 338 to 795 of the family's 1533-position model. The record is from RNAcentral.
CCUACGGGGGGCAGCAGUGGGGGAUAUUGCACAAUGGGGGAAACCCUGAUGCAGCGACGCCGCGUGUGGGAAGACGGUCCUCUGGAUUGUAAACCACUGUCCCCAGGGACGAAGAUGACGGUACCUUGGGAGGAAGCUCCGGCUAACUACGUGCCAGCAGCCGCGGUAAUACGUAGGGAGCGAGCGUUGUCCGGAAUUACUGGGUGUAAAGGGAGCGUAGGCGGGACUGCAAGUUGGGGGGCAAAUCUACCGGCUAAACCGGUAGACGCACUCAAAACUGCAGUUCUUGAGUGAAGUAGAGGUAGGCGGAAGGCGUAGUGUAGCGGUGAAAUGCGUAGAGAUGAGGAGGAACACCAGUGGCGAAGGCGGCCUGCUGGGCUUUUACUGACGCUGAGGCUCGAAAGUGUGGGGAGCAAACAGGAUUAGAUACCCCAGUAGUC